Molecule: long non-coding RNA, 2288 nt
Organism: Oreochromis aureus
Lineage: Eukaryota; Metazoa; Chordata; Actinopteri; Cichliformes; Cichlidae
Source: Ensembl
GGUGUGUCACUUUGGGUGUGUCUUGAGGGUUAAAGUUAGAUGCAUUCAUCUGUUUACCUCACCUGGUUUUGACGAGCAAUAAAGGUAAGUCUUCCUUCAUCUAAGAUGACCACCCCUUCCCUUCCUCCCGAAGAAAGAGGCAUUAACCCCAACCUGUCCACCUGCCGAGAGUCUCAGUGCAACAAUCAUGGUAACUGUGUGACUCCUACGGGUGGUGGUACAGAUCUAGUAUGUAACUGUGAUCUGGGCUACAAGGGUGACUCCUGCGAGGACACGAUCAAUGGGGCAUUAAGUGUACCUUUGACCCUGAGCGUGUUUGCUGUCCUCGUUGGCCUGGUGAUCCUGGCUUUCAUCGCUGCCAAGUUCCGGCAGAAACAAAAGAAGAAGCGAAGGAAACUACUGGAAGAAAAAGUCUACAGCAAUACUGCAUAAUGUGGAUAACUGUCGAACAGAUAAACUUUGGUGAUCAAAUUGUGACUACCACUAUAAGAAUUAUGCUGCAACAUCCCACAGACUCGAGCAAUAACUUCACAAACUGAGUGCAAAGGCGUAUGGGAGAGUUACUUCUUAUACAGUAUUUUUCCAUUUGUACAAAAAGUAUCUAUCUCUAAUACCGCAAGCCACAUGCUGAUUCAUUUUGUGCCUCUUCUCUGAAACCAACUAAACUGAUGCCAAUAGAGUCAUCCAGGCAAAACGUGCAGUGCAAAUGUCUGUAUUUUAAUCAACAUCAGCUUCCUUGAUCUCAUUUCUCAAACACUAAGGCAUGCUUCUGCAAGUAGUUUAAACUCUGACUCUUGUUAGUAAAACAAUACAAAUGUUCACCUAUAAUUUACCUUCUCUGAGGGAGCUGCAGUUUAGCUUAAGUAAAGCAAGUGGUUGUUAUUUUGACAGUGAAGGCUCCAGACAGAUGACAUUUACGAUGAUUCUGUAGACCGUUUAAUGGGAAUCUGAUAAGCCAGAAGCUGAUUUGACUCCGUCCAGUUUAUAUAUAUUUUAUUUAGAAAAUAUGCACUUUUUUUCCACUCUUGUGGUUUUAUUUCAUUGCUAUGUUACGUACAGCAGUUGCUGCUGGUAUUAUAUUGUUUCCCUUGAAUUUCUUUCUUUCUUUUUUUUUAAGGCGUGCGUGUGUGUGUGUGUGUGUGUGUGUGUGUGUGUGUGUGUGUGUGUGUGUGUGUGUGUGUGUGUGUGUGUGUGUGUGUGUGUGUGUGUGUGUGUGUGUGUGUGUGUGUGUGUGUGUGUGUGUGUGUGUGUGUGUGUGUGUGUGUGUGUGUGUGUGUGUGUGUGUGUGUGUGUGUGUGUGUGUGUGUGUGUGUGUGUGUGUGUGUGCAUAUUAGUGCCUUUUAACACUUUGGGUUUUUGGGAAGUAUUUCUACCUAGUUCUAAGUGCCCUGCCUUUAAUUCUUUUGAUGCUGUGGUAACAUAAAUGCACCUGUACAUCACUGGCCUGCUUUCGUUCAGAUUUCUGUUCAUGCUUAUGAAAAUAAUGCAUUUUCAAUCUGUGCAGACACAAUCCUGCAUGGCUGUCAGUAACAUGCACAUAUUGUACAGAUGGUAGGAGAGCGGUCAGAGCUGAUUUCAGUCUUGGCAUUUUCAAAACCUGAUAGUAUGUGUGCUUUUAAAUGAGUUUCUGUGCCCUCUGAAUCUCAGGCCACAAAAUGAUUACCGCUCAAUAAACUUCUGGACCUGUAAAGAUGAAAGCUGCAGAGUAUCUUGGUACAGAAUAAGUAAUUAAGUUCCUCAAGCUUGUAGCCAGUGUUAAGUGCCUACUGUAUUGCUUCUUUAUUAUGUUCACAACCACCUAAGUUAUUAUAUUUGUACAGACCUUUUACCUGGUAGCUACUGGUGACCACAAACAUAAACUGGUCAUCAACAACACAGUAGCAAUAAGUUUUGUAAAUAUCUGCCCCUCUAACCACUGGGUAAAAAUCACAAAACGGUAAUGUUACUGUAGAUUUUCAGAUCUGCCAUAUACAAUACUCAAUUAUAUUAUCGUGUUUUUAUGUGUGCAUGAAUGUGCUGGACAUUUAUAUUAAUAUGACCAUUGUUGAUGAGCAGGGUUUCUCAGUCUAUGCAUCCUAUAGUGUCUUCCACUGGCUUGUAUACAGUUUGAAUUAUAUAGACAGAAGAGGAUGUCUCACUGUGUUGUUUACACUCACAGUAUUUGAAGAAAAGAAAUGCACAUUAACUUUUGUAUGCUUUCAAAAUAAUAUGAAAAAACUCUGUAAUAUUUAUAUGCAACCCCUGUAUCAGUGCACACAGAUUUGUAUCAAUAAAGUUGAUUAUUGGUG